RNAcentral lists this ribosomal RNA (496 nucleotides) under uncultured bacterium. Its description in RNAcentral is "partial 16S ribosomal RNA". It matches the Rfam family "Bacterial small subunit ribosomal RNA", at positions 28 to 506 of the family's 1533-position model. The record is from RNAcentral.
GAUGAACGCUGGCGGCGUGCCUAAUACAUGCAAGUCGAGCGAACGGACGAGAAGCUUGCUUUUCUGAUGUUAGCGGCGGACGGGUGAGUAACACGUGGAUAACCUACCUAUAAGACUGGGAUAACUUCGGGAAACCGGAGCUAAUACCGGAUAAUAUUUUGAACCGCAUGGUUCAAAAGUGAAAGACGGUCUUGCUGUCACUUAUAGAUGGAUCCGCGCUGCAUUAGCUAGUUGGUAAGGUAACGGCUUACCAAGGCAACGAUGCAUAGCCGACCUGAGAGGGGGAUCGGCCACACUGGAACUGAGACACGGUCCAGACUCCUACGGGAGGCAGCAGUAGGGAAUCUUCCGCAAUGGGCGAAAGCCUGACGGAGCAACGCCGCGUGAGUGAGGAAGGUCUUCGGAUCGUAAAACUCUGUUAUUAGGGAAAAACAUAUGUGUAAGUAACUGUGCACAUCUGGACGGUACCAAAUCAGAAGACCACGGCUAACUACGG